CUGUGGCUACCAGGCAGAGCGAGAAGUCCAAACAUGGCUGCCAAGGGGCCAGCCUCCCGAGGGCCCGGCCUCCCCGUGUGAGGCAUGGGCUGGGACAGGUGAGAGGCCUUCUGCAGAGAAUCGGGGCCCAGCAGAGAGGACGCAGAACCCGCUCAGCUCUCCUGUGGGGACAGGUUCCUUGGCCACCAGGUAGCCCUGGUGGCUGGAGCCCACCGUGGCCUCUGGCACAGGGACAGAAGCCAGCCUCACCUCCGUCGGUGUCCCAGUCCAGACCCCUCGGUGUGAAGAAUCUGCAGCGGAGCAGCCGGUCUUGUCGCCAUGCUCAGCAGUCUCCGGAUUCUGUGAUGGGCAUCAGCGUGGAAGUCCUGCCCGGUUCCAGUUCUGCUUUACACUGCAGCGCACUUUCGGCCGGAAGGCUUGUGUUUCCAUGUCGUUCAAAGGCCGUUCCAAACUCCACUGAGGGCGCAUGGAUGGUUUCAGAUAGGUCACCAGUGCCUUUUAUUUUAUCUACUUAUUUUUAAAUGCACUAGGAAAAAAAAAAAAAAAAA
This is a long non-coding RNA of Tupaia belangeri chinensis (Chinese tree shrew), 548 nucleotides long. RefSeq lists it as uncharacterized. The transcript has 2 exons. NCBI's taxonomy places the organism in Eukaryota, Metazoa, Chordata, Mammalia, Scandentia, Tupaiidae. The record is from RefSeq and is a predicted model, not a curated record.